CAGAGUUAUCUAACUCCCAAACCCAUGUGAACUUACCAUUGUUGCCUCGGCAGAGCCUACCUGGUACCUACCCUGUAGUGAGCUACCCUGUAGCAACCUACCCGGGAACGGUUACCCUGUAGCGUUUUGCCGGUGGACUUCUAAACUCUUGUUAUUUAAUAGUAAUCUGAGCGUCUUAUUUUAAUAAGUCA
Molecule: unclassified non-coding RNA, 191 nt
Filed under: uncultured Ascomycota
Lineage: Eukaryota; Fungi; Ascomycota
Description: sequence contains ITS1
Source: RNAcentral